RNAcentral lists this ribosomal RNA (253 nucleotides) under uncultured bacterium. Its description in RNAcentral is "partial 16S ribosomal RNA". It matches the Rfam family "Bacterial small subunit ribosomal RNA", at positions 524 to 776 of the family's 1533-position model. The record is from RNAcentral.
UACGGGGGGAGCAAGCGUUGUUCGGAAUCACUGGGCGUAAAGGGAGUCUAGGCGGUUUGGUAAGUGGGAUGUGAAAUCCCCGGGCUCACCCCGGGACCUGCAUCCCAAACUGCUGAGCUUGAGUACAGGAGAGGGUGGGGGAAUUCCAGGUGUAGCGGUGAAAUGCGUAGAUAUCUGGAGGAACACCGGUGGCGAAGGCGCCCACCUGGCCUGCUACUGACGCUGAGGCACGAAGGCCAGGGGAGCAAACGGG